AGAGUUUGAUCCUGGCUCAGGACGAACGCUGGCGGUGUGCUUCACACAUGCAAGUCGAACGAGGUAGCAAUACCUAGUGGCGGACGGGUGAGUAACACGUGGGAAUCUUCCUUUGGGUGGGGGAUAGCAGGCCGAAAGGCCUAUUAAUACCGACUAUAUGUGCAUAUUUCGACAGAGGUAUGCAUGAAAGCAGUAAUGCGCCCGAAGAUGAGCCCGCGCCCGAUUAGCUAGUUGGUAGUGUAACGGACUACCAAGGCUACGAUCGGUAGGUGGUCUGAGAGGAUGAUCACCCACAAUGGGACUGAGACACGGCCCAUACUCCUACGGGAGGCAGCAGUGGGGAAUUUUACGCAAUGGGGGAAACCCUGACGUAGCGACACCGCGUGAGCGAUGAAGCCCCUUGGGGUGUAAAGCUCUGUCGGCUGGGACGAAAAAAAUGACGGUACCAGCAAAGGAAGCAUCGGCUAACUACGUGCCAGCAGCCGCGGUAAGACGUAGGAUGCAAGCGCUGUCCGGAUUCAUUGGGCGUAAAGCGUUCGUAGGUGGUUUAGUAAGACAGGCGUGAAAUCCCCGGGCUCAACCUGGGAACUGCGCUUGUGACUGCUAAGCUAGAGUACGGCAGAGGGGGAUGGAAUUCCACGUGUAGCGGUGAAAUGCGUAGA
This 662-nucleotide ribosomal RNA is filed under the name uncultured bacterium. Its description in RNAcentral is "bacterial SSU rRNA". It matches the Rfam family "Bacterial small subunit ribosomal RNA", at positions 8 to 694 of the family's 1533-position model. The record is from RNAcentral.